Molecule: long non-coding RNA, 334 nt
Filed under: Elaeis guineensis (African oil palm)
Lineage: Eukaryota; Viridiplantae; Streptophyta; Magnoliopsida; Arecales; Arecaceae
Description: long non-coding RNA (EGUI_LNC025747)
Source: RNAcentral
AAUCCCGUUGACCAAUAAAAAUCUUACCAUCCUCAAAAAAGAAAAAAAUCUUACCAUCCUCAAAAUUUUAUAACGUAAAAAAUUUUUUAUGCAGUGUAUAGACUCUUAUCAUUUGUAACUUUCUUGGACUAUCAUAUAUAAAAAUUAGAGUAUAGCAUGUGCAGGCAAAACUUGGAGAAUAGAAUGUAGGCAGGAAUAUAAUUAUGUAUUAGUGAGUUUGGAGAGUAUUCAUGUAAAUAUUGGUCUUGGUAGAAUUGUAGAUGUAGAGAUGAUUAAUAUAGGGAUAAAAAGCUGCAAGGAUCUCACACAACACGAAGCAUGCAUUACAAGGUGG